AGCGUAGGCGGAUUUUUAAGUGAGAUGUGAAAUACUCGGGCUUAACCUGAGUGCUGCAUUUCAAACUGGAAGUCUAGAGUGCAGGAGAGGAGAAGGGAAUUCCUAGUGUAGCGGUGAAAUGCGUAGAGAUUAGGAAGAACACCAGUGGCGAAGGCGCUUCUCUGGACUAUAACUGACGCUGAGGCUCGAAAGCGUGGGAGCAAACA
Molecule: ribosomal RNA, 206 nt
Filed under: uncultured bacterium
Lineage: Bacteria
Description: partial 16S ribosomal RNA
Rfam family: Bacterial small subunit ribosomal RNA
Source: RNAcentral